CCUACGGGAGGCAGCAGUGAGGAAUAUUGGUCAAUGGACGCAAGUCUGAACCAGCCAUGCCGCGUGCAGGAAGACGGCCCUAUGAGUUGUAAACUGCUUUUGUACGAGGGUAAACGCAGCUACGUGUAUCUGUCUGAAAGUAUCGUACGAAUAAGGAACGGCUAACUCCGUGCCCGCAGCCGAGGUAAUACGGAGGAUUCAAGCGUUAUCCGGAUUUAUUGGGUUUAAAGGGUGCGUAGGCGGGCGGAUAAGGUAGAGGUGAAAUCCCGAGGCUCAACUCCGGAAUUGCCUCUGAUACUGUUCGGCUAGAGAGUAGUUGCGGUAGGCGGAAUGUAUGGUGUAGCGGUGAAAUGCUUAGAGAUCAUACAGAACACCGAUUGCGAAGGCAGCUUACCGGGCUACUUCUGACGUUGAGGCACGAAAGCGUGGGGAGCAAACAGGAUUAGAUACCCUAGUAGUC
RNAcentral lists this ribosomal RNA (460 nucleotides) under uncultured bacterium. RNAcentral describes it as "partial 16S ribosomal RNA". It matches the Rfam family "Bacterial small subunit ribosomal RNA", at positions 338 to 795 of the family's 1533-position model. The record is from RNAcentral.